CCCUUAGAUGUUCUGGGCCGCACGCGCGCUACACUGUUGCAUUCAACGAGUAUACAACCUUGAUCGAAAGAUCUGGGUAAUCUUUGAAAGUGCAACGUGAUGGGGCUAGAUUAUUGCAAUUAUUAAUCUUAAACGAGGAAUUCCUGGUAAACGCAAGUCAUCAGCUUGCAUUGAUUACGUCCCUGCCCUUUGUACACACCGCCCGUCGCUCCUACCGAUUCGAGUGAUCCGGUGAACCUUUUGGACCGAGGCAGCUUGCUGUUUUGGAAAAUCAAGUAAACCACGUCACUUAGAGGAAGGAGAANUCGUANCA
Molecule: ribosomal RNA, 313 nt
Filed under: uncultured eukaryote
Lineage: Eukaryota
Description: partial 18S ribosomal RNA
Rfam family: Eukaryotic small subunit ribosomal RNA
Source: RNAcentral